AACUAACGCUGGCGGCGUGCCUAACACAUGCAAGUCGUACGAGAAAGUUGGCUUCGGCCGAUGAGUAAAGUGGCGCACGGGUGAGUAAUGCGUGGAUAAUCUGCCCUUUAGUUGGGAAUAACGUACCGAAAGGUGCGCUAAUACCUGAUAAUACUGCAUAACUACUGUUGUGUAGUCAAAGAAGGCCUCUGUUUACAAGCUUUUGCUGAAGGAUGAGUCCGCGUACCAUUAGCUGGUUGGUGGGGUAAUGGCCUACCAAGGCUACGAUGGUUAGCUGGUCUGAGAGGAUGAUCAGCCACACUGGAACUGAGACACGGUCCAGACUCCUACGGGAGGCAGCAGUCGAGAAUAGUCUACAAUGGCCGAAAGGCUGAUAGUGCGACGCCGCGUGAACGAUGAAUCCCGUUCGGGUGUAAGUUCUUUUAUAUGUGAGCAGUGCUUCUUAUAUUAACAGUAUGGGGAGAGAGAUAUUAGCAUAU
RNAcentral lists this ribosomal RNA (479 nucleotides) under uncultured bacterium. Its description in RNAcentral is "bacterial SSU rRNA". It matches the Rfam family "Bacterial small subunit ribosomal RNA", at positions 29 to 483 of the family's 1533-position model. The record is from RNAcentral.